UAGGGAAUCUUCGGCAAUGGACGGAAGUCUGACCGAGCAACGCCGCGUGAGUGAAGAAGGUUUUCGGAUCGUAAAGCUCUGUUGUUAGAGAAGAACGUUGGUAGGAGUGGAAAAUCUACCAAGUGACGGUAACUAACCAGAAAGGGACGGCUAACUACGUGCCAGCAGCCGCGGUAAUACGUAGGUCCCGAGCGUUGUCCGGAUUUAUUGGGCGUAACGCGAGCGCAGGAGGUUCUUUAAGUCUGAAGUUAAAGGCAGUGGCUUAACCAUUGUACGCUUUGGAAACUGGAGGACUUGAGUGCAGGAGAGGAGAGUGGAAUUCCAUGUGUAGCAGUGAAAUGCGUAGAUAUAUGGAGGAACACCGGUGGCGAAAGCGGCUAUCUGGUCUGUAACUGACGAUGAGGAACGAAAGCGUGGGGAGCAAACAGG
RNAcentral lists this ribosomal RNA (429 nucleotides) under Bacillota bacterium. RNAcentral's name for it is "Firmicutes bacterium partial 16S ribosomal RNA". It matches the Rfam family "Bacterial small subunit ribosomal RNA", at positions 355 to 776 of the family's 1533-position model. The record is from RNAcentral. Lineage: Bacteria; Bacillati; Bacillota.